UUGGAACAGCCCAUCUUCCACGCAAAAACAAUAGUAAACGGAGAAAUCCUCACGAUCCCUAAAUCCCGCAGAUUAUCCUCGCACCCGUUUCCUUCCUCCACUCCCGUCGCCGCCGUUUCCUUAUUCGUCGCCCGAUUAGUGCUCGCCAUUCUUCACCACGCCGUGGAUGAGCUGCUCACCUCCCCUUCGUCCCUGGGCUUCUUGUGGAAGGCUGAGCUGUCGAUCUGUCUGCAGCGGUAGCAUAUCCUCCCUCAGGCGGCCAUGAUGGCCUUCUUGUGAGCAGCUCGCCGAUCUGUACCUGAUUUUGCAACUCCGUCUCUCAUUCGGUCAUGAAUAAUGAUGGUUCAAUUUCUGCCACUACCCUCCCUACUGCUAAUCACCUAAUCUUUACGAGAUCGAUGCUUCCUAUAAAUCCGCUACGUGCUUGUACUUGCGUAUGGAUUGGCAAUACAAGCAUGCUUCUCAGACACAUCCACCAGAUUCCAAAUGAGCUUCUUUGUUGUCCGCAAGAUGGGAUGCAAUGACGUUGAAUGUGCUAUAACUGAGACAAAUGAGUCACUGUUCUAAGUUGUCUGUUGUACUGGAACAACAGUUGUCCAUGACCAGCUUGUGAAAAGUAUUGCUGUAAUAGGCUUCUGUUUAAUUGCAAAGAGAAUUGUAAUAUUUUCUGCUUACCAUAUCAAACAAAUUCGAG
Molecule: ribosomal RNA, 694 nt
Filed under: Triticum aestivum (bread wheat)
Lineage: Eukaryota; Viridiplantae; Streptophyta; Magnoliopsida; Poales; Poaceae
Description: partial small subunit ribosomal RNA
Source: RNAcentral